This 320-nucleotide ribosomal RNA is filed under the name uncultured Pseudomonadota bacterium. Its description in RNAcentral is "bacterial SSU rRNA". It matches the Rfam family "Bacterial small subunit ribosomal RNA", at positions 30 to 351 of the family's 1533-position model. Lineage: Bacteria; Pseudomonadati; Pseudomonadota. The record is from RNAcentral.
AUUAAACGCUGGCGGCAUGCCUUACACAUGCAAGUCGAACGGCAGCACUGGGGCAACCCUGGUGGCGAGUGGCGAACGGGUGAGUAAAGCAUCGGAACGUGCCCUGGAGUGGGGGAUAACGUAGCGAAAGUUACGCUAAUACCGCAUAUUCUGUGAGCAGGAAAGCAGGGGAUCGGAAGACCUUGCGCUUUGGGAGCGGCCGAUGUCGGAUUAGCUAGUUGGUGGGGUAAAGCUCACCAAGGCGACGAUCUGUAGCGGGUCUUAGAGGAUGAUCCGCCACACUGGAACUGAGACACGGUCCAGACUCCUACGGGUGGCAG